GCCACGAGCAGCUAAUGAAGGCUCCAUCCCUUUCCAUAGGCAUUCUUGGUGAAAAGCAUUUAGCAAAUGUCUGGAGUACGUUGAAAAUACAGUGUCUAGUUUGGCUUUGAGAGUAUCACAGACGGCUAGUUAAUUAUGUCUUGUUUAUUCACCAAGAAUGAAAAUUCCGAAAGCUGUUUCCUGGACCAACGACCAGCACUGGCGAGCCUGGGACCUGUGGGACGAGAUCCCACACAUCUCCAGCCCGCUGUUCCUGGGAAAAGCCACCUGCCAAUCAUCCUUGGAGCAGCAGCCAUUCUCAGGAUCUCCUACAUCACAGAUCACCUAAUAAACACAGGACCUGUCGACGACUGGAGAAAAGGAGAAACGCUGAAGCACACUGGGCAUUUUGGAAGCAUUUCAUCAUAAUAAAUUACCUUUGCCUUUACUGUUUCUGUUUACAGUUUCAUUAUAGUUAAUUGCACUUAGUUGUGAUUACUCAGUUACAAAGACAAUGGGUCACUCUAUAAUGGGUGAUGGUAUGCUUUUAGCUGUGCUUCCAUAGGUUGUAUCUGCCUUAGUAAAUGACUAAAUGUCUUUUUCACAAGUGAUUUUGAUUAUGUUUGUAGAAUUAAAUUAAAGGUAAACCUGUACAUUGGUUAAAAUAACAUCUGACUGCUACAAUAA
Brienomyrus brachyistius is the source of this 666-nucleotide long non-coding RNA. RefSeq lists it as uncharacterized. The transcript has 2 exons. Lineage: Eukaryota; Metazoa; Chordata; Actinopteri; Osteoglossiformes; Mormyridae. The record is from RefSeq and is a predicted model, not a curated record.